UAGGGAAUAUUGGUUAAUGUGCGAAAGCGCGAACCAGCAACGCCGCGUGUGCGAUGAAGGCCUUCGGGUCGUAAAGCACUUUUUGCAGGGAAGAGGAAGGACGGCACCUGCAGAAUAAGUCUCGGCUAACUACGUGCCAGCAGCCGCGGUAAAAAGUAGGAGACGAGCGUUAUCCGGAUUCACUGGGCGUAAAGCGCGUGCAGGCGGCAUGGCAAGUUGGAUGUGAAAGCUCCCGGCUUAACUGGGAGAGGUCGUUCAAUACUGCCAGGCUUGAGAGUGGUAGAGGGAAGCGGAAUUCCGGGUGUAGUGGUGAAAUGCGUAGAUAUCCGGAGGAACACCAGUGGCGAAAGCGGCUUCCUGGCCCAUUUCUGACGCUCAGACGCGAAAGCUAGGGUAGCAAACGG
RNAcentral lists this ribosomal RNA (404 nucleotides) under uncultured bacterium. RNAcentral describes it as "bacterial SSU rRNA". It matches the Rfam family "Bacterial small subunit ribosomal RNA", at positions 355 to 775 of the family's 1533-position model. The record is from RNAcentral.